GUCCCCGUAGCUCAGCUGGAUAGAGCAUCGGUUUCCUAAACCGAAGGUCGCACGUUCGAAUCGUGCCGGGGACGCCA
This 77-nucleotide transfer RNA is filed under the name Planctomycetota bacterium. RNAcentral's name for it is "tRNA-Arg". It matches the Rfam family "tRNA". From Rfam's summary of the family: Transfer RNA (tRNA) molecules are approximately 80 nucleotides in length. Their secondary structure includes four short double-helical elements and three loops (D, anti-codon, and T loops). Further hydrogen bonds mediate the characteristic L-shaped molecular structure. tRNAs have two regions of fundamental functional importance: the anti-codon, which is responsible for specific mRNA codon recognition, and the 3' end, to which the tRNAs corresponding amino acid is attached (by aminoacyl-tRNA synthetases). tRNAs cope with the degeneracy of the genetic code in two manners: having more than one tRNA (with a specific anti-codon) for a particular amino acid; and 'wobble' base-pairing, i.e. permitting non-standard base-pairing at the 3rd anti-codon position. Lineage: Bacteria; Pseudomonadati; Planctomycetota. The record is from RNAcentral. RNAcentral also lists the same sequence under 1 other name.